This is a long non-coding RNA of Musa acuminata AAA Group (dessert banana), 1595 nucleotides long. RefSeq lists it as uncharacterized. NCBI's taxonomy places the organism in Eukaryota, Viridiplantae, Streptophyta, Magnoliopsida, Zingiberales, Musaceae. The record is from RefSeq and is a predicted model, not a curated record. The transcript has 2 exons.
UCUCUUCCGAGGACAUCCCCAGCUGUGGGGUCGCGGCCUGCCGCUAUGUCUUGUCUUUUACUCCGUCUUCUUCCCCACAGCCACACACACACACAUCCUCGCUUAAAUUUUCUUGUUGUUUCCUUCUUUAUUGCAACCGCACACCCACUGCUCUCUCUCUCUGUCUCUCUGUGACUCGUUUGCACGCAUCUCCUUAUACGGAGUGAGGGUAAUCAUUCCUUCAUCAUCGCCUCCUAUGCUGCUCAAACAUCUCUUGCAGCAGCCGGAAGGAAGCCGGAAGUCAUGGGGGAGGGAGGGGGGAGAGGAGGAUAAAGCCAAAGGCAGCUGAGAGGACCAUCAAGAAAGGGAAGCUUUUUCCUUGAGGGGAAUGUUGUCUGGCUCGAGGCCAUCUUCUCCUUCACUGUUGUUGCGUGUGAAGAGAUCUCGGACCAGGCUUCAUUCCCCUCAAUCACAGCUUCCAUCUCUACCAUUUGUGACCCAGCUUCUCUUAUAUUGAUCUCAUCUCCUGUUUUGUCAGAUUGGAGCAAUCAUGGUGGGGAGGGGUUAUGACUACCUACCUUCUUUUCAUGAUCUAUCCUUUCUGCUCAUGCUGACAUGCAGGGUAAGAGGCUUUCAUCAUUACCUUCCAAGAAGGGUUUCUUCUUUUGUCUCUCUUUCUUUUUCCUUGCAGACCUGCAGGCAGAGUUACCCGGAUGUCUUCCCAGGUUAACCAGCUCUGCAUCUCUCAGUUCUUCUUGACAUGGUUCAGCUUUCUUUGCUUGUGUGCUGACAGUACUAUUUCUUCUUGGCUUUCUUUUUCCUUGCAAAUCUGCACGGUGGGGAGGUUCCCUGCAAGGUUUUCCAGGUUGACCGAGUUUGGAUCUCUGAUGUCUUUCUGGUUUCUUUGUUCUCUCUCUUCCCAUGUUUGCAAUCCCUCUUAGGGGUUUCUUUUCUUUGUUUGCCGAGCAUGGUCGUGUGUUGCCAUAGACUUCAUUACGUCAAAUGUCUGAGGCAAUUAACGAGGCCUUUUGCAGUCGGCGUUAUGAUAUUGAUUAGAGAUUACGGGUAUACAUAUAUAUAUAUAUAUGUACCUUUGAUCUUUAGAUAUUUCUACCGUGGUUGAUGACCUUAGUUUUUGAAGAGAAGCUUUCUCUUCAUGGAAUAAGCAUAAAGAAACCUUCUGCACCCUUUAGGUUUUGUUUUGGAGGAAAUAGAUAGAGCAGUGAGAGAGACUUGAACAUGUGAAACCUCUCACAACCAGCUUUGCUUUUCGCUUAAGAACAUUGCACUACUGUGGCUGUUACCGCCAUCUCCAUAACCUUGUUUUCUUCUGUUGGCGAAGCAUGAAAUACUGAGAGAGAGAGAGAGAGAGAGAGAGAGAGAAGGUUAGGGUUUGAGAAGGUAAAAAUGACAGCUUUCAAAUCGGAGACUCCCCACACGGAAGCAGAAAACGUCAGCUUGCACCCGAUGGACGCGACGUCGCAGGGCUCACGCACCAUCACCGGCAACCUUCUUGCGGUGACUUGGCUUCGCUGUGUUGUGUCAUCCGAACUGAAAACUAAGCAUUCCUAUGAUCACAAACAUAUCUAACAACAGCACCAUGCACUUGCUUUUUA